CGCUUAUCAAGAGAGGUUAAGGGACUGGCCCGAAGACGCCUCAGCAACCAGCCAAUCAGGUAUGGUGCUAAAUCCAGUAGACAUUUUUGUCUAGCAGAUAAGAA
This 104-nucleotide non-coding RNA is filed under the name Sediminibacillus halophilus. RNAcentral's name for it is "SAM-I sequence". It matches the Rfam family "SAM riboswitch aptamer (S box leader)". Rfam says of the family: The SAM riboswitch is found upstream of a number of genes which code for proteins involved in methionine or cysteine biosynthesis in Gram-positive bacteria. The SAM riboswitch acts at the level of transcription termination control. The record is from RNAcentral. Lineage: Bacteria; Bacillati; Bacillota; Bacilli; Caryophanales; Bacillaceae.